RNAcentral lists this ribosomal RNA (558 nucleotides) under Papiliotrema terrestris. RNAcentral's name for it is "eukaryotic LSU rRNA". It matches the Rfam family "Eukaryotic large subunit ribosomal RNA", at positions 98 to 645 of the family's 3401-position model. Lineage: Eukaryota; Fungi; Basidiomycota; Tremellomycetes; Tremellales; Rhynchogastremaceae. The record is from RNAcentral.
CCGGGAAGAGCUCAAAUUUGAAAUCUGGCGUGCUCAGUGCGUCCGAGUUGUAAUCUAUAGAGGCGUUUUCCGUGCCGGACUGUGUCUAAGUCCCUUGGAACAGGGUAUCAAAGAGGGUGAUAAUCCCGUACUUGACACAAUGACCGGUGCUCUGUGAUACGUCUUCUACGAGUCGAGUUGUUUGGGAAUGCAGCUCAAAAUGGGUGGUGAGUUCCAUCUAAAGCUAAAUAUUGGCGAGAGACCGAUAGCGAACAAGUACCGUGAGGGAAAGAUGAAAAGCACUUUGGAAAGAGAGUUAAACAGUACGUGAAAUUGUUGAAAGGGAAACGAUUGAAGUCAGUCGUGACUGAGAGGCUCAGCCGGUUCUGCCGGUGUAUUCCCCUCAGUCGGGUCAACAUCAGUUUUGUUCGGUGGAUAAGGGCAGCUGGAAGGUGGCACCUCCGGGUGUGUUAUAGCCAGCUGUCGCAUACAUCGAAUGAGACUGAGGAAUGCAGCUCGCCUUUAUGGCCGGGGUUCGCCCACGUCCGAGCUUAGGAUGUUGACAUAAUGGCUUUAAAC